RNAcentral lists this ribosomal RNA (454 nucleotides) under Anelosimus may. RNAcentral describes it as "partial 16S ribosomal RNA". Lineage: Eukaryota; Metazoa; Arthropoda; Arachnida; Araneae; Theridiidae. The record is from RNAcentral.
ACAUUUUUUAUUAAAUUUUUAUAAAUAAAAUCUGCUCAAUGAAUUAUUUUAAAUAGCCGCAAAUUAUUGUGCUAAGGUAGCAUAAUCAUUUGUUUUUUAAUUAAAAACUAGAAUGAAAGAUUUUACAUUUUAAUUUCUUUAUUAAAUAUUAUAUAUAAAUUUAUACUAAAUAUAAAAAUAUAUUUAUAAUAUAAAAAGACGACAAGACCCUAUUAAAUUUUACUUAUUGUUUAGCUGGGGCAGCUUUUUAAAUAAAAUUUUAAAAUUAUUUAUAUAUUAAUAAAAAUCUAAUAUAAUUAAAUUAAUCCAAUUACUAUAGGGAUAACAGCGUUAUAUUUUUUUCAAGUUCAUAUUAAAAAAAAUCAUUGCGACCUCGAUGUUGAAUUAUAUUUCUUUAUUAAUGCAACAAUUAUAAAAGUAGGUCUGUUCGACCUUUAAAAUAUUACAUGAUCUR